RNAcentral lists this ribosomal RNA (942 nucleotides) under Stenotrophomonas maltophilia. RNAcentral's name for it is "bacterial LSU rRNA". It matches the Rfam family "Bacterial large subunit ribosomal RNA", at positions 176 to 1162 of the family's 2925-position model. The record is from RNAcentral. Lineage: Bacteria; Pseudomonadati; Pseudomonadota; Gammaproteobacteria; Lysobacterales; Lysobacteraceae.
GGAGCGAACCUGGUGACUGAAAUAUCUAAGUAACCAGAGGAAAAGAAAUCAACCGAGAUUCCGUAAGUAGCGACGAGCGAACGCGGACUAGCCCUUAAGCUGAUUUGGUUCUAGGAAAACGCUCUGGAAAGAGCGGCCAUAGAAGGUGAUAGCCCUGUAUCUGAAAGGGCCAUUUCAGUGAAGACGAGUAGGGCGGGGCACGUGAAACCCUGUCUGAACAUGGGGGGACCAUCCUCCAAGGCUAAAUACUACUGACCGACCGAUAGUGAACCAGUACCGUGAGGGAAAGGCGAAAAGAACCCCGGAGAGGGGAGUGAAAUAGAACCUGAAACCGUGUGCGUACAAGCAGUAGGAGCUCCGCAAGGAGUGACUGCGUACCUUUUGUAUAAUGGGUCAGCGACUUACUGUUCGUGGCAAGCUUAACCGUAUAGGGGAGGCGAAGGGAAACCGAGUCUGAUAAGGGCGCAUAGUCGCGGGCAGUAGACCCGAAACCGGGUGAUCUAGUCAUGCCCAGGGUGAAGGUGCGGUAACACGCACUGGAGGCCCGAACCCACUCCCGUUGCAAAGGUAGGGGAUGAGGUGUGAUUAGGAGUGAAAAGCUAAUCGAACCCGGAGAUAGCUGGUUCUCCUCGAAAGCUAUUUAGGUAGCGCCUCAUAUGUAUCCUCUCGGGGGUAGAGCACUGUUAUGGCUAGGGGGUCAUCGCGACUUACCAAACCAUUGCAAACUCCGAAUACCGAGACGGACUGUAUGGGAGACACACGGCGGGUGCUAACGUCCGUCGUGAAAAGGGAAACAACCCAGACCCCACAGCUAAGGUCCCAAAUUUUGUGCUAAGUGGAAAACCCAUGUGGAAAGGCACAGACAGCCAGGGAGGUUGGGCUUAGAAAGCAGCCACCCCUUUAAAGAAAGCGGUAAAUAGCUCACUGGUCGAGUCGGUCUGC